GCGUCGGUAGUGCAGUUGUUUAGCACGCACUCCCGGAGAGGGUGAAGUGCGGGUUCGAUUGCCGGCUAGCGCG
Molecule: non-coding RNA, 73 nt
Organism: Parelaphostrongylus tenuis
Lineage: Eukaryota; Metazoa; Nematoda; Chromadorea; Rhabditida; Metastrongylidae
Source: the annotation of a GenBank genome assembly